Molecule: ribosomal RNA, 220 nt
Filed under: uncultured bacterium
Lineage: Bacteria
Description: partial 16S ribosomal RNA
Rfam family: Bacterial small subunit ribosomal RNA
Source: RNAcentral
UACGAAGGGGGCUAGCGUUGCUCGGAAUUACUGGGCGUAAAGGGCGCGUAGGCGGACAGUUUAGUCAGAGGUGAAAGCCCAGGGCUCAACCUUGGAAUUGCCUUUGAUACUGGCUGUCUUGAGUUCGGGGAGAGGUGAGUGGAAUGCCGAGUGUAGAGGUGAAAUCGUAGAUAUUCGGCGGAACACCAGGUGGCGAAGCGACUCACUGGCCCGGAUACUG